UAUGGAGAGUACUCAACAUUUCAGACACACCAUCAUCAGAAGAAACAACCAUCAAGUCCUCAGACUUGCACGGAACAACGUUGUGAAAGGAAUGAGGUUGUGUUUGGGGCUUCCGUGUUUCGAUUGGCAUUACGGAGAGGGGGUUGUUG
Long non-coding RNA from Ipomoea nil (Japanese morning glory), 149 nucleotides. RefSeq lists it as uncharacterized. The transcript has 4 exons. Lineage: Eukaryota; Viridiplantae; Streptophyta; Magnoliopsida; Solanales; Convolvulaceae. The record is from RefSeq and is a predicted model, not a curated record.